Molecule: transfer RNA, 72 nt
Filed under: Toxocara canis (dog roundworm)
Lineage: Eukaryota; Metazoa; Nematoda; Chromadorea; Rhabditida; Toxocaridae
Rfam family: tRNA
About the family: Transfer RNA (tRNA) molecules are approximately 80 nucleotides in length.
Source: Rfam by way of RNAcentral
AUGGCAGUAGCUCAGUGGUAGAGUCACCGCUUCGUACGUGGGUAGACCUGGGUUCGAUUCCCCGCCGCUUUC